UACAGAGGUCCCAAGCGUUGUUCGGAUUCACUGGGCGUAAAGGGUGCGUAGGUGGCCAGGUAAGUUUGGUGUGAAAGCUCGGAGCUUAACUCCGAAAAGUCAUUGAAUACUAUCUGGCUGGAGGGUCGGAGGGGAGACUGGAAUUCUCGGUGUAGCGGUGAAAUGCGUAGAUAUCGAGAGGAACACCUGCGGCGAAGGCGGGUAGCUGGGCCGACACUGACGCUGAUGCGCGAAAGCCAGGGGAGCGAACGGG
RNAcentral lists this ribosomal RNA (253 nucleotides) under uncultured bacterium. Its description in RNAcentral is "partial 16S ribosomal RNA". It matches the Rfam family "Bacterial small subunit ribosomal RNA", at positions 524 to 776 of the family's 1533-position model. The record is from RNAcentral.